AUGAUGUAAUGGACAUUUUCUGAUAAAAUCAUUUCCAUUAUGGUCGUAUUUCCUUUGGACACACCCUUUGAUGACAAACUCCGUCUUUUGUGAUUGUGACAUAGACAGUAUUAAAUUAGCUUUCAACGUGGGCACAAUGCUGUGCAUUCUUGAUCGGAGGUGGGCGUGGCUUCCCGGCGCAGUCUCAGUUACCUGCAGAGCUCAACGCGGAAGACAACAAGAAGCUCCGGGUUUCUAACUGACGUCGAACAAGCAGAGGCAAGUUACUCGGGAUUCUAUUGGGACACCUGACGUGUUUUUGUCAUUAGGCUCUACCCCAAAACCAUGUGGCCAAACCAAGGUCCUCCCCAUUCAGUGCCUCCACCAAACCCAGCCUUUGCCCCUGGCUACAACCCUGCAUAUCCUCCUGUGCCUCAGGCAGGAGUCUUUCCUCCACAACCAGUAUACCCAGCUGGUCAGUACCAGGCUGGUCAGUACCCAGCUGGUCAGUAUCCAGCUGGUCAGUAUCCAGCUGGUGGGAAUGUCGCCAUGGGACCACAUGGAGCUCCAGGAAUGAUGCCAUAUGGAGCUCCUGGAGCUCACCCGUAUCCCAUGGCUCCAGGUGGAGUUCCAGGGGUCCCACAUGCUGGUGUUUAUCCAGGUCACUACCCACACUCUCCAAAAGGGGGUCACCACAAAGGGGGGCACCACAAAGGGCAUCAUCAUGGAGGAGCCAUGCCAAUGGGUGGAGUAGUAGCGGGUGGGGUUGCAGGAAUGGGAAUUGGGGUGGUUGGACAUAAAGCCAAUAAGAAGAUGAAGAAAAAGAUGAAGAAGGCUCAUAAACAAAAGCAUGGACACAAACAUGGCAAGUCCUCCAGCAGCAGCAGCAGCAGCAGCAGUAGCAGUGACUAAGCCCGAAGGCCUUCAACUCCACACCCAGCAUCUAAGAAAAGUCUUUCAGAAGUGCAAAUGAUCUAUAACCAAUACACGUAAAAGAGAUAUGUUUUUAGAAUACAAAACAAGUGUUUUAAAGUACUUAAGUAACAAAGCAAAAAAGGCAAGGUCACACCGCUUUUGUGGAUAUCUUAUGAAGUUGAUUAAAUAUAUGUGAUUGUUUUUUGGUCAGUUAGUUUGUGUAAGAAAAAGGCGUGUCUAAAAAAUAUGGAAUAAAGUGCAAGGAUAUUUGUAAGAUGAUAUAUGGAAAAAUGUGUUAAAAUUGCAAUGUGUUAAAGAAUGUGCCCACUUUAAUGUGUCUUUAUUUUCUAUUUCACUUGCAUUAACUUUUGCUUUUGUUUUCCUGUUGCCUCGGAUCUGACCACAAAACUGGUAGUUUAUUGUAGAAAAACCAUAUAAAAUAUAGAAUUUAAUUAAAAGCAAAAAUACUGUCAUUGAAUGUGUAGAAAGGUGGAAGAAAAUCUAAUUUGUGCAUUUAAGUCUGUACUUGUGUUUUAAAAAUUACCUUUGAAAACAUUUGUGGUCAGGAUUACAGAAGGGUGCAUCAAAAUGCACAAGAUCCUUUCUUGUAACUUAAGCUGCAUAAUCAUGUUGAUCUAGUUAUAUAUUUUUAAAGAAUAUAUUUUUUGUUAAUACAUUAGAAGUCUGAUGCACACCAAAAUAAAGCGAUGCAGCGCAUUUUGUUUUAUUUUGAAAAUAGACUAAGUUACCUUUUGUCAGAAAAGUCUAGUGUUACAUUCACUACUCACUAUUCACUACAUUCACUACCACUGCAGCAGAAAAAAUAUUUCAUACCACUUUGAAAGUCGGUUUAAUGUCAAAAUGAUUGUGACUGCAUCUGUUCACUUAACACUAUUUCAUCAAUAAAUAUGUUUAUAUCCACGGUGCCUUCAUGUUUUGAGUAUGACUAUCGGUUUCCUUUAAUUUAUUUUUAAAAAAUAAUUUAUUGCACGGUUUUUGUUUAAAAUUAUGUUUUUCUUGUUAAAAUAAUUAUAUUUUAAAUAACUGCAAGGAAAAGUCUUAGGUUGUUUAAAAUUCGAAGGAAUAAAUGUUGCUUUACUGACCGUCGGAAAACGAACAAUUUUGAUGGGACGUUUGUGAUCUACUGUGUUUUUUCUGAAACCAUCGAAACCUUUUUUUUCUUCUAAUGAUGUGCUUUCUUGUGACCUGCCACGUAAAACAUCAAAUGGUGGAAGAACUGCAGCGAUCCUUUUAGCGAAACAUCCGAUCGGGGUGGGGGUUUGUGAUGGGUGUGAGAGGAAAGUUCAGAGGUUGUAGUUUUGUUGUCUUUGUGUAAAGGAGUGGAGCUCGAUCUCACAUCACUCUUCCCUCUUCCCCGAGUCCUUUCUAAACUCUCCCCCUGGGUUUCUACCCUCCCGAACCUCUCCCCUUCUACCCUCACAACCCCAACCCUCCCCCCGAUCACAUAUUAGGGUUCGAAUCAGGUGAGUUCGGCUUUGAUGUUCUGUACUUUUCGGCAUUUGUGUUAGUCAGAAGUAACGAAAAGAAAACGCGCCUAGGAGCUAGCUGUGGCUACAUGCUAGCAGGCCGCACAAUGAUGAGCACGCAGUCUGUUCACUGUGAUGUAGCUAAUUUAUUAUUCGCAGCUUUGGUCUGUAGUCUUUAUCGGCUUUUUUUUGUUAAAGUUCUUUCCGUAGUUCGUGGAAUUUGUUAAAGAUCGUUCAUAAACGUGGUUUCACGAAAACUAAAUUCGUCCCAUUAAGCGUUAUAGUAUUAGCAAAUAAAGCUAACUAGCUUUGCUAACAAUCGCACACAUGCUCCAUUCAUUUUCAGGGCAACCUCUAUGCUAAAAAAGGCUAACAGACCGCCAGAAAGAUCGAACUAUUUAAGUGACACAAGAGCACAAACUUUGCAAAGAGGGAAGAGCUGAUUAUUGUUUUAUUUAAACCAUCUAAUCGUGUUGCUGACUUAAAAGAAACUUGCUUCAAAGAUAAUGAGAGCGUCAUAUAAUAAUAGACACGACCAUAUGUUCUUAUGCCAUAGUAGUUCAACGCUGAAUCACUUUUUUUAGUCUUUUGUUAUUUUUUCCUAAUAGAGACGUAUUUAAUUAAAGACUGAACUGCCUGUAGUUAAUGAAAUCGUAUUUUUAUUGUCACGGUUUAAGACCCAACUUUUGCAUUAGCCGUACUGUAACACAGGUGAUUGUACUACUAGAUAACCAGUUAUUUUACACUGCAUCAUACUUUACCCUUUUAAGAGGAAAAACUUUCACUCUGCUUCUUAUUUUUUUUUAGUAAAAAUUAUUUUGCACAUCAUAGUACUUGUUAUUUAUUAGUAACUAUAAUUACUAUUAACCCAUGUCAUAUUUAUGCAUAGAUAGAUGCCAUUUUGGCUCAGUAUACAUCUGUGGUUGUGCUACUUAUUUUGUGUGACAACCUGCUUUAGGCUGAGGACAGCCAUCUUCUACAAUUUUAGCUAUAUGGGUACUUUAUUGACUGCAUAGUAUUGCAAAACCUUAAGUUUCACGUUUUGUUGCUUUUUAAGGCUGAUUUUGUUGUUCAGACACCUCUGUCUGGAGGAUCAUUGCGCUGGGAGCAGAUAUUUCUCAGGUUGAUUGAAAAUAUGACCGUAGAAUGU
Molecule: long non-coding RNA, 3531 nt
Organism: Oryzias sinensis (Chinese medaka)
Lineage: Eukaryota; Metazoa; Chordata; Actinopteri; Beloniformes; Adrianichthyidae
Source: Ensembl